GCCUGUGGCUAGCUCAGUUGGUCAGUGUGUGGUGCUGGUAACACCAAAGUCACAGGUUCGAUCCCCAUACGGGCC
Molecule: non-coding RNA, 75 nt
Organism: Podarcis lilfordi (Lilford's wall lizard)
Lineage: Eukaryota; Metazoa; Chordata; Lepidosauria; Squamata; Lacertidae
Source: the annotation of a GenBank genome assembly